UCACCGCCUCUUUUCCUCUGGGUACAUAUGCCCCUCUUCUCUUCAUUUUUACUCGCUCUUCUGAAGUCCUUAAACCCUUUCAAGGUUUUCUCCAAUCUCCAUUUCCACCGAUACCUUCUCCAUAUUCCCUGAUCCACUGAAAAUCCAAGAUAUUUUUAAAAGCUUUCGCAUGCUUCUCUUAGCUAAAGAUGUGUGGUGGAGCUAUUAUAGCUGACUUAAUCCCUCGCAACCGUGGCCGCUACAUCGCCGCUUCUGUCAUUUGGCCAAACUCAUCCUUCUCUAAACUCAGCCCCUUCGAGUCCUAUCCGAACUCAUUCGGCAACCACGAAUCAUUCACUCACAAAAGAUCCCAACCCGCUUCAGAUGAUGAUCGUGUGGAUAAGAUCCCUGCCAAGAGGCAGAGGAAGAACUUGUAUAGAGGUAUCAGGCAACGCCCCUGGGGCAAAUGGGCCGCUGAGAUUCGCGAUCCAAGGAAAGGAGUACGCGUUUGGCUAGGCACCUUCAACACCGCCGAAGAAGCUGCUCGAGCCUACGAUAGGGAGGCCCGCAAAAUUCGCGGCAAGAAAGCCAAGGUCAAUUUCCCCAAUGAAGAUGACUAUCUCACUUCCCAAAAUCACCUUAAUCCGCCUCCUCAUGGGAAUCCCAAUCCCUCUCUGUAUCAACCCCUCACUUGUAAUUUCAGCAAUCCCCCAAAAAAUUAUGAAUUUGGGUUCGGUCGUGAUUUAAACCAUAUUGGAUCCUACGCUUCAAAUGGAAUAAAUACUGAACCUCUUUUCGUUUCUGGCGAGGAGAAUUCUGGAUCUGGUUCAGGGGAGGAAGCCUACCCAAUAAUUGGGCUAAUGAGCUGCAACCAGAAAGUAAGCAACAAUAAUUACGUAAGUGAAGUGAAAGUGAAACAGGAAGAGGAGAAAAUGGAGGUAGAGAAGGUGAACAAUGGGAAGGUAGUGGUAGUGGACGAGAAAUCUCAGCAGCAGGAGAGCGAAGUGCAGAAGCUCUCGGAAGAGCUAAUGGCUUAUGAGAAUUACAUGAAAUUCUAUCAGAUUCCUUAUCUGGAUGGACAAUCAGCGGCACCGAAUACCACUCAGGAAAGCGUGGUUGGGAAUCUCUGGAACUUCGAUGACGAUGGUGUCGCUGCUCCGGUUACCUCUGCGGCUCUGUAGCGGUGGAGGCGACGGCAAUUGUUUUUGUUAUUUGGUUAAUUUCUAGUAUUAGGGAGGGAUGGGGCCUGUAAAUUACGGGGAAAUCAUGAUUUUUGCUUUUAAUUGUUCACUUAUUUGAUGCGCUGGAUCGUGUUUUGUAUGCUUAUGCCUAAAUUUCAUUUUAUGUUGGAAAUGUAAAUUUUUAUGUUUAAAUAUUAAAGGAAUUGUACCGAGUUUUCUUUGUCAUAUCCAUUUUGCUGCAGUCAUCCUUGUUAUCAUUUUUCCUUAUGCUUGAUUGUUGAAGUUCUU
RNAcentral lists this unclassified non-coding RNA (1448 nucleotides) under Hevea brasiliensis (rubber tree). Lineage: Eukaryota; Viridiplantae; Streptophyta; Magnoliopsida; Malpighiales; Euphorbiaceae. The record is from RNAcentral.